Molecule: ribosomal RNA, 327 nt
Filed under: Triticum aestivum (bread wheat)
Lineage: Eukaryota; Viridiplantae; Streptophyta; Magnoliopsida; Poales; Poaceae
Description: partial small subunit ribosomal RNA
Source: RNAcentral
GUUACACUUGCUAAUAGACAUAUGAAGGUUUCGCCCACUUGCCCCACUUGCUCAGAGGGCUUAGAAGAUACAAAACAUAUAUUUUUUCGUUGUAGGAAAGCAAAGGAGGUUUGGAAAAGAUUAGGGAUAAUUGAUAUUAUCGAUAAAGCGUGCGAGGUAGACCAUGCUGGAGAGGCGGUGUUGGAGUACUUACUACUUCUCCCGAACCAAGAAUUGAGGAUGAUAGGUCACCACAAUAUGCGUGAGAUGAUUGCUGUCUCAACAUGGUAUUUAUGGUGGGAAAGACGGAAGUUAGUACAUAAGGAGACAACCCAAAAUGCCUUGUAG